CUAAUACCGGAUAUGACAUGCCUGGGCAUCUGGGUGUGUGGAAAGUUUUUUUCGGAUGGGGAUGGGCUCGCGGCCUAUCAGCUUGUUGGUGGGGUAAUGGCCUACCAAGGCUUCGACGGGUAGCCGGCCUGAGAGGGUGACCGGCCACACUGGGACUGAGACACGGCCCAGACUCCUACGGGAGGCAGCAGUGGGGAAUAUUGGACAAUGGGCGGAAGCCUGAUCCAGCAACGCCGCGUGAGGGAUGACGGCCUUCGGGUUGUAAACCUCUUUCAGCACAGACGAAGUUCUAUCUUUUUGGGUGGAGUGACGGUAUGUGCAGAAGAAGGACCGGCCAACUACGUGCCAGCAGCCGCGGUAAUACGUAGGGUCCGAGCGUUGUCCGGAAUUAUUGGGCGUAAAGGGCUCGUAGGCGGUUUGUCGCGUCGGGAGUGAAAACCCCAGGCUUAACUUGGGGCCUGCUUUCGAUACGGGCAGACUAGAGGCAUUCAGGGGAGAACGGAAUUCC
This 508-nucleotide ribosomal RNA is filed under the name Nocardioides terrae. RNAcentral's name for it is "bacterial SSU rRNA". It matches the Rfam family "Bacterial small subunit ribosomal RNA", at positions 163 to 670 of the family's 1533-position model. Lineage: Bacteria; Bacillati; Actinomycetota; Actinomycetes; Propionibacteriales; Nocardioidaceae. The record is from RNAcentral.